GAUGAACGCUGGCGGCGUGCCUAAUACAUGCAAGUCGAGCGAACAGAUGAGGAGCUUGCUCCUCUGACGUUAGCGGCGGACGGGUGAGUAACACGUGGAUAACCUACCUAUAAGACUGGGAUAACUUCGGGAAACCGGAGCUAAUACCGGAUAAUAUAUUGAACCGCAUGGUUCAAUAGUGAAAGACGGUUUUGCUGUCACUUAUAGAUGGAUCCGCGCCGCAUUAGCUAGUUGGUAAGGUAACGGCUUACCAAGGCAACGAUGCGUAGCCGACCUGAGAGGGUGAUCGGCCACACUGGAACUGAGACACGGUCCAGACUCCUACGAGAGGCAGCAGUAGGGUAUCUUCCGCAAUGGGCGAAAGCCUGACGGAGCAACGCCGCGUGAGUGAUGAAGGUCUUCGGAUCGUAAAACUCUGUUAUUAGGGAAGAACAAAUGUGUAAGUAACUAUGCACGUCUUGACGGUACCUAAUCAGAAAGCCACGGCUAACUACGUG
RNAcentral lists this ribosomal RNA (497 nucleotides) under uncultured bacterium. Its description in RNAcentral is "partial 16S ribosomal RNA". It matches the Rfam family "Bacterial small subunit ribosomal RNA", at positions 28 to 507 of the family's 1533-position model. The record is from RNAcentral.